UUACUAAACCGAUAUUGACGCUCAGGCACGAAAGCGUGGGGAGCGAACAGGAUUAGAUACCCUGGUAGUCCACGCCGUAAACUAUGAUCACUCGUUGUUGGCAAUACACAGUCAAGUGACCAAGCGAAAGCGAUAAGUGAUCCACCUGGGGAGUACGAUCGCAAGGUUGAAACUCAAAGGAAUUGACGGGGGCCCGCACAAGCGGUGGAGCAUGUGGUUUAAUUCGAUGAUACGCGAGGAACCUUACCUGGGCUCAAAUGUAAGUUGACAGUUUCUGAAAGGGAAUUUUCUUCGGACAAUUUACAAGGUGCUGCAUGGUUGUCGUCAGCUCGUGCCGUGAGGUGUCGGGUUAAGUCCCAUAACGAGCGCAACCCCUACUCUUAGUUGCCAUCAGAUAAUGCUGGGGACUCUAGGAGAACUGCCUACGCAAGUAGAGAGGAAGGUGGGGAUGACGUCAAAUCAGCACGGCCCUUACGUCCAGGGCUACACACGUGCUACAAUGGCCGGUACAGAGGGCAGCCACCUGGUGACAGGGAGCGAAUCUCUAAAGCCGGUCUCAGUUCGGAUCGAAGUCUGCAACCCGACUUCGUGAAGCUGGAAUCGCUAGUAAUCGCGCAUCAGCCAUGGCGCGGUGAAUACGUUCCCGGGCCUUGUACACACCGCCCGUCAAGCCAUGGAAGCUGGGGGUACCUGAAGUCGGUGACCAUUUAGGAGCCGCCUAGGGUAAAACUAGUGACUGGGGCUAAGUCGUAACAAGGUA
This 760-nucleotide ribosomal RNA is filed under the name uncultured marine bacterium. RNAcentral describes it as "bacterial SSU rRNA". It matches the Rfam family "Bacterial small subunit ribosomal RNA", at positions 726 to 1498 of the family's 1533-position model. The record is from RNAcentral.